This is a long non-coding RNA of Cavia porcellus (domestic guinea pig), 444 nucleotides long. RefSeq lists it as uncharacterized. The record is from RefSeq and is a predicted model, not a curated record. The transcript has 4 exons. NCBI's taxonomy places the organism in Eukaryota, Metazoa, Chordata, Mammalia, Rodentia, Caviidae.
AGGCCACUGAUUCGCUAAGACUGAGCAGCAAGAGGCAGUGCCCAGAGCCGAAGCCAGCCAGACUAACGGCCUGAUUCUGCCUCAGCACACAGAAGAGAUGGCCAGAGUGAGACCCCUGAGAAGAUGUGACUCCAGGGAGAGGCUCCCAUUAUGAUGUGUGUCCUCAUCACUGGCCCAAAACCGUUGAGUCUAUUGAUCAUUGACUGGAACCUCCAAAUGGAUGGAUUUACUGACCUACUUUUAACAGACCAAACAAGGAAGAUGUGAUGCCUAGUGGAAAUUGAACUCACGACCUCAAGCUUACCAGACAGGCCCUGUGCCUUGAGCUACAUCCCUGGCCACCAUGCAGCUCUUGAAGAUGGACCCUGAGCCAGCAGCCCCCAGCCAUGCCACACCCAAACUUCUGACUCACAGAAACUGGGAAAAUAUAAGCUUUAAGUUGCC